Papaver somniferum (opium poppy) is the source of this 2316-nucleotide long non-coding RNA. RefSeq lists it as uncharacterized. The transcript is spliced from 6 exons. NCBI's taxonomy places the organism in Eukaryota, Viridiplantae, Streptophyta, Magnoliopsida, Ranunculales, Papaveraceae. The record is from RefSeq and is a predicted model, not a curated record.
CAUUUCAAUCACAGAAACUACUCUCUCCUGAAGAACAUCAAACCUUUUCAUUUUCAACGCCUGAAACAACGCUCCCGUGAAAAACAUAUUCUCUUCUCAAUGAAAGUUGAAUCCCAAACAUAAAUCUGGGAAUCAAACAAAUAAUCGGUUCGGUUCAAUUUGAUUCAACUUGAAAACCUAAAUCGUUAUCAUCUAUCAUCGGUACCUUCUUUGACAAUUAAUCAGUCAGGGGAAAACUAGAUAAGAUUCAAUUUCAAUAUUGAAGAGUUCAUCCUUGAAAGCAAUUGGAAAGAUAAGUGUAAUCUAUUCUUAUCAUUUAAAUCUGAUCGCCACUAUUAAUUUAUCGACUUCGGAAUCGGUUUCUGAAAAAAUAAUUAGGAUUUCAAAAACCUAAUUAGUUCGGUUUCGGUUUCAAUUUCUUAUUCAGUUUAUGAGUAAGAUCAUGUUGUUUGGGAAAAUGUUGCUUAUGUUUGUUUGUUUUUUCUUUAAUCAGAUUUUAUUAGUAAAUAUAAUUUUCUUCUGUUCACCAUCCUCAAAAACCAUCGCUCCUUUAUGGGAGAAUUCAAAGAAAGACAGAGAGUUAUAUGUCAGUGUGUCUACCCACGGUAGAGCUCAUUGAAUUACUGAAAAUGUUUUACAUGUUAUUUUAUUUUUUUGGUUUAUUGUUGAAACGGUUCACCGUGAAUACGUUGAAAUGCUUAAUGAUUUCUGAAAUAUCCGUUGAUUAGAACAGAACUCAAAAUGCAUUAAACUGCUUAGUAAAUUUUCGUCAUUAUUGAAUAGGAUCAUUGUGGUUACAUUGUGCUUAAUGAAUUCUGAAAUUAUAUAUUGAUCAGAGAAGAACCCAUAAUACAUUUGCUGGCCAUAGUUCACGAUUCCUAUUUAGGCACUAAGGCGGGAACUCAAAGCAAGGAGCACCAUCAAUUUGUAAUUAGUGUGACCUUUCAUUCCUUCAGUCUCUCCCCUUUAUGGUUUAAGAGAAUAUGUAGCAUUGGAAAUGCUACGUAUAAAGGUUUGUCACAAGCUCCACUAAUCAUCUUAAAUAAUGUUUUCCUGUUAGAGGGUGAUGGACACGACAUUCUUUGCGGAAGAUGUGCAUCUUUUGGCAAGUGCAAGCAUAGACCAAGGGUUUUUGUAUGGGAGAUUAAGGAAGGAACUAAUGAAGAAAAUAAGCCACGAAUUAACAUGGGAAGCCGUCACUGCCAUCCAGAUAAUGGGCGGGGGGAAUUAGUUCAUCCACGAGUUUGCUGGCACUCCCAUAAACAAGUGAUGGAGUUGCAACAAAGAAAUGUGGAGUUAUAUUUGAUCUCUCUUGCAAUCUUGCAAGGUUACUUGAAUUAUGUACCAGUGGGAUCCCUGAAGCAUUCCUAUCAGGCUCUGAUAUGAAUCUUUGAAGGCCGAUAGUUUGAUAGUUUUCACAAAUUCGCUAACUUCGUUAGGUGCUGAUACUUGAUACGCACCUGGGAUCUUGUAUUCCAGAUAAGGAAGGUAUCAAUACGAGCAUUCAAGGAGUGCAAUCAUAAGGAUGGAACAAGGUACGUGCCUAUUCUUGUAUGCCUAGGGCUAUUGGGGAAUGCGUGAUGUACUUGUGCCCCGUGUUGAAGGUUUGCACUUGGCAUGAUAGUAAGUAGUCUCAUGAAAUGAUGAAAUGAAAUAAAACUUGUUGCUUCUUAUGAUUUGUUUACAGCUAUUUGGAACCUUCAUAAUAUGUAUUAUGUUAGGUUCAUUUUAUUAGACAACGAUAAAGAUAGACGAAAAUGGUUUCGAUAUGAAGAAUUUUGGUAAAUGCUCUGUCAUAGUUAACAACAAAGAACUAAAAUCUGGACAACGUCUAAAACAUGAUACGAUUUGGAGGUUGAGGUGAUGGAUUGCAGCAAUAAAAUGCGGUAUCCCCGAAGCAUCCCUAUCAUGAUCUGAUAUGAACCUUUGAAGGAUGAGUGAGUUGAGCUGCCGAUAACGUCGUCUAGAUUUUUUUGGCUUUUGAACUCAUAAGCUUAAAAUGGUAAAGCGCCCAAGCUUAUAACAAGGUCUGCGGAUGUUGAUGGUUCAAAUCCAUUUGAGCUUCCGUGUUAUGUUUAUUGAAUAUGAAUGGCGGUACUGGUUCUUAGAUGGACGAUUCAAGUUGUAUGUGGUGUACAAACGGGUGCAUGUUGUCUUGUCUUUGAAUUUUUCUGGACUUUUGUAGAUGAGUACAUGUUUGUACAUCAAUGUGAACUAAGAUUUUUUAAAAAUGAGAAUUAUAUAGUCAUAUGGGUAUUCUUUUUGUAGCUCUCGGAAAGUGCUUUCCGAAUAUAUAAAGUUUGCGAAUUUUGGACA